GAUGAACGCUGGCGGCGUGCUUAACACAUGCAAGUCGAACGAUGAAGCCCAGCUUGCUGGGUGGAUUAGUGGCGAACGGGUGAGUAACACGUGAGUAACCUGCCCUUAACUCUGGGAUAAGCCUGGGAAACUGGGUCUAAUACCGGAUAGGAGCGUCCACCGCAUGGUGGGUGUUGGAAAGAUUUAUCGGUUUUGGAUGGACUCGCGGCCUAUCAGCUUGUUGGUGAGGUAAUGGCUCACCAAGGCGACGACGGGUAGCCGGCCUGAGAGGGUGACCGGCCACACUGGGACUGAGACACGGCCCAGACUCCUACGGGAGGCAGCAGUGGGGAAUAUUGCACAAUGGGCGCAAGCCUGAUGCAGCGACGCCGCGUGAGGGAUGACGGCCUUCGGGUUGUAAACCUCUUUCAGUAGGGAAGAAGCGAAAGUGACGGUACCUGCAGAAGAAGCACCGGCUAACUCCGUG
RNAcentral lists this ribosomal RNA (466 nucleotides) under uncultured bacterium. RNAcentral's name for it is "partial 16S ribosomal RNA". It matches the Rfam family "Bacterial small subunit ribosomal RNA", at positions 28 to 507 of the family's 1533-position model. The record is from RNAcentral.